Saccostrea echinata is the source of this 1241-nucleotide long non-coding RNA. RefSeq lists it as uncharacterized. The record is from RefSeq and is a predicted model, not a curated record. NCBI's taxonomy places the organism in Eukaryota, Metazoa, Mollusca, Bivalvia, Ostreida, Ostreidae. The transcript is spliced from 7 exons.
AUACGUGUUGAAUCAUCCUGCUUGCCUGUUUGAGAAAGAAGGCCCUUUGCAACAGAGAGUGGAACUUUCGCCAACCCACAAUCUGGAGGCUUUGAGGUCAUUUGAAGGACACAUCAUUUCCUGCAACCCAUGAAAUGAUGUACAACUGUUGUGAUCUGUGAAUACUUGUUGAAUCAUCCUGCUUGCCUGUUUGAGAAAGAAGGCCCUUUGCAACAGAGAGUGGAACUUUCGCCAACCCACAAUCUGGAGGCUUUGAGGUCAUUUGAAGGACACAUCAUUUCCCGCAACCCAUGAAAUGAUGUACAACUGUUGUGAUCUGUGAAUACUUGUUGAAUCAUCCUGCUUGCCUGUUUGAGAAAGAAGGCCCUUUGCAACAGAGAGUGGAACUUUCGCCAACCCACAAUCUGGAGGCUUUGAGGUCAUUUGAAGGACACAUCAUUUCCCGCAGUAAGAAUUCUUUUCUGGGACGAAUGCAGUUUAAGUUUUAUAUACAUUCAUAAAAAGAGUAUUGUUUUUCAUGUUAAGUGUAAUGAGUGUAAAUAUUUCAGACCCAUGAAAUGAUGAACAACUGUUGUGAUCUGUGAAUACUUGUUGAAUCAUCCUGCUUGCCUGUUUGAGAAAGAAGGCCCUUUGCAACAGAGCGUGGAACUUUCGCCAACCCACAAUCUGGAGGCUUUGAGGUCAUUUGAAGGACACAUCAUUUCCCGCAACCCAUGAAAUGAUGUACAACUGUUGUGAUCUGAGAAUACUUGUUGAAUCAUCCUGCUUGCCUGUUUGAGAAAGAAGGCCCUUUGCAACAGAGAGUGGAACUUUCGCCAACCCACAAUCUGGAGGCUUUGAGGUCAUUUGAAGGACACAUCAUUUCCUGCAACCCAUGAAAUGAUGUACAACUGUUGUGAUCUGUGAAUACUUGUUGAAUCAUCCUGCUUGCCUGUUUGAGAAAGAAGGCCCUUUGCAACAGAGAGUGGAACUUUCGCCAACCCACAAUCUGGAGGCUUUGAGGUCAUUUGAAGGACACAUCAUUUCCCGCAACCCAUGAAAUGAUGUACAACUGUUGUGAUCUGUGAAUACUUGUUGAAUCAUCCUGCUUGCCUGUUUGAGAAAGAAGGCCCUUUGCAACAGAGAGUGGAACUUUCGCCAACCCACAAUCUGGAGGCUUUGAGGUCAUUUGAAGGACACAUCAUUUCCCGCAACCCAUGAAAUGAUGUACAACUGUUGUGAUAUGUGAAUACUUGUUGAAU